CCCGAGGCUGUCGCGGGCGGUUAGGUCCGGCGGGAGCUUCUGUUUCACUGGCGCGCCCACUAUGACGAUCACCUACAGCUGCAUUGCUAAUGGCCGAAUGGUCUUAGCGGAGUUGGCCCUGACCGGCGGCUCCUAUCAGCUUCGUCUACCAUACUCUCUUUAUUGAUGGAAUCACUUACCUAUGUGCCUCAGACAAUGCCCUGGAUACUGUAACACCAUCUGCAUUUCUCAAAAAUGUUAGUGAUACUUUUCUGAGAAAUCCUUUGCUGUCAGAAGAAUAUUUUUCUCCUUCAAAUGCAGUUGCUGCAGAUUUUCAACAAGUAUUAGGAAAGUAUAUGGUAAAAUACAAUAAAAACCAAGAUAACAGCUCUAUAUCCACCCUGAGGAGUCAAGUAACUGAUGUAAAAAAUGCUAUGACCCAAAAUAUUGAUAAAAUUUUGGAGAGCGAAGAAAGAUCAAAUAUCUUCCCCGACAGUACAGAUGAUCUUCAAACAGCUGUCAAAGAAUCCCAAAAAACAAGACAGAUUCUUAGGAGGAUAUGGUGGAAACACUUCAAAAAGAUUAUAAUCAUCACUGUGGCAAUUCUCCUUUCAAUCAUCAUCAUUCUUUUAACUACAAAUGUAAUACCAAUCUGACCUUUCUUCUCCCCAUCCCCAGCAGGUUAGUAUGUUGUUUCUGGGGGACAGACAGGAAUGUGAAGAGGAGUACUCUGAGAAGAGGAAUUGUCAUGUAUUUUGCUGCCAUGACUUUUGAAGCCCUAUAAAAUUUGCCUCCUAACAUUUCUGUAAUUUUUAUUAUGUAUAAAAACAAAGUAUUUGUAUCCUGAUUGCCAGUGAGUACUAGCGUAUUUAUUGCUAGAAGACAUGGAACUUAAAGGUCACCUAAUCUAGC
RNAcentral lists this long non-coding RNA (891 nucleotides) under Equus asinus (donkey). RNAcentral describes it as "lncRNA (ENSEASG00005036865.1)". Lineage: Eukaryota; Metazoa; Chordata; Mammalia; Perissodactyla; Equidae. The record is from RNAcentral.